GAUGAACGCUCGCUACAGGCUUAACACAUGCAAGUCGCGGGGCAGCAUGGGGGUUGCUUGCAAUCCCCGAUGGCGACCGGCGCACGGGUGAGUAACGCGUAUCCAACCUGCCCUUCACCACGGGAUAACCCGGCGAAAGUCGGACUAAUACCGUAUGUUGUCCACUGACGGCAUCCGAUUUGGACGAAAGGCUUGGCGGUGAGGGAUGGGGAUGCGUCCGAUUAGCCAGACGGCGGGGUAACGGCCCACCGUGGCUACGAUCGGUAGGGGUUCUGAGAGGAAGGUCCCCCACACUGGAACUGAGACACGGUCCAGACUCCUACGGGAGGCAGCAGUGAGGAAUAUUGGUCAAUGGGCGUAAGCCUGAACCAGCCAAGUAGCGUGCAGGAUGACGGCCCUAUGGGUUGUAAACUGCUUUUAUGCGGGGAUAAAGUGGCCCACGUGUGGGCUUUUGCAGGUACCGCAUGAAUAAGGACCGGCUAAUUCCGUG
Molecule: ribosomal RNA, 490 nt
Filed under: uncultured bacterium
Lineage: Bacteria
Description: partial 16S ribosomal RNA
Rfam family: Bacterial small subunit ribosomal RNA
Source: RNAcentral